Molecule: unclassified non-coding RNA, 237 nt
Filed under: Glomus sp.
Lineage: Eukaryota; Fungi; Glomeromycota; Glomeromycetes; Glomerales; Glomeraceae
Description: partial contains 5.8S ribosomal RNA and internal transcribed spacer 2
Rfam family: 5.8S ribosomal RNA (bases 1-71)
Source: RNAcentral
GUGAAUCAUCGAAUUUUUGAACGCAAAUUGCACUCUCUGGUAUUCCGGAGAGUAUGCCUGUUUGAGGGUCAGUUAAAUAAAAAUCGGCGUUAUGUUGCCGCUUUGCGUAGUGACGCAGCGGGUAUGGGCCGUCUUACCUUCGGUUAAGUGACCUAAAUUUUUGCAUCAGUUGCUAAAGGAUUUAAGUAAUUUACGUACGUUUGUAAUGUCGGAUAGUAGGUGUGGUCAUUCUCAUGA